RNAcentral lists this ribosomal RNA (400 nucleotides) under uncultured bacterium. RNAcentral describes it as "partial 16S ribosomal RNA". It matches the Rfam family "Archaeal small subunit ribosomal RNA", at positions 473 to 873 of the family's 1478-position model. The record is from RNAcentral.
AUACCAGCACCCCGAGUGGUCGGGACGAUUAUUGGGCCUAAAGCAUCCGUAGCCGGUACUGCAAGUCUUCCGUUAAAUCCACCUGCUUAACAGUUGGGCUGCGGGGGAUACUACAGCGCUAGGAGGCGGGAGAGGCAAGCGGUACUCAAUGGGUAGGGGUAAAAUCCGCUGAUCCAUUGAAGACCACCAGUGGCGAAGGCGGCUUGCCAGAACGCGCUCGACGGUGAGGGAUGAAAGCUGGGGGAGCAAACCGGAUUAGAUACCCGGGUAGUCCCAGCUGUAAACGAUGCAGACUCGGUGAUGGGCUGGCCUUGUGCCAGCCCAGUGCCGCAGGGAAGCCGUUAAGUCUGCCGCCUGGGGAGUACGGUCGCAAGACUGAAACUUAAAGGAAUUGACGGGG